ACCUAAUGAGACUGCCGGUGACAAACCGGAGGAAGGUGGGGAUGACGUCAAGUCCUCAUGGCCCUUAUGGGUAGGGCUUCACACGUCAUACAAUGGUCGGUACAGAGGGUUGCCAAGCCGCGAGGUGGAGCCAGUCCCUUAAAGCCGAUCGUAGUCCGGAUCGUAGUCUGCAACUCGACUACGUGAAGUCGGAAUCGCUAGUAAUCGCAGAUCAGCAUGCUGCGGUGAAUACGUUCCCGGGUCCU
RNAcentral lists this ribosomal RNA (245 nucleotides) under uncultured Thauera sp. Its description in RNAcentral is "partial 16S ribosomal RNA". It matches the Rfam family "Bacterial small subunit ribosomal RNA", at positions 1138 to 1382 of the family's 1533-position model. The record is from RNAcentral. Lineage: Bacteria; Pseudomonadati; Pseudomonadota; Betaproteobacteria; Rhodocyclales; Zoogloeaceae.